Molecule: long non-coding RNA, 4185 nt
Filed under: Canis lupus familiaris (dog)
Lineage: Eukaryota; Metazoa; Chordata; Mammalia; Carnivora; Canidae
Description: lncRNA (ENSCAFG00000050599.1)
Source: RNAcentral
GGACCAAAGAUCCCAAAGAGCCCACAGAAUGGUUGGGUGGGAGCCACUGGACAAGCAAGCUUGGUGGCCAGGGGGAGGUGGUGACCAGAAAGCAGAAUGCUCUACCAGGUGAUCUUUGGGUGAUGGCAGAUUUUCAGAUGACUGGCUGAGGUGGGAAGGUGCUAAUGGGUCUGGGGGUAGUAAGAGUGACCCAUGGAGUCAAUAGUCUCACCCAGGACAGUGCGUGGACUGGGAAAGGGAAGAAUGUCUAUGGGCAGAUGACAAAGGCUUCACUGCGGCAUGAGAAGAGUGGCUGGUGAUGAGGGGAGGAUGCAGCCUGAUUUUAUGAGAUUUGGAGAACAACAGUGUUUUAGAGAAGAAAUUAUAUUCCCUUGCAUCUGAAGUACAUUCUCCACAGUGAAAGUUCAGGAAAGAAAAUGGAAGGAGUCUUAAGAGGUAAUAGACACGGCACAGGGUCAGAAGUUAGGAGACUCAUAUGUAGUCCUGAUGAGACUAUCAUACUGUGUGACCUUGGGCAAGUCUUUUCCCCUGCUUGAGUCUCAGAUUUCUCAUCAAUAAAGACAGUUAGGGGGUUGGCUAAGCUAAACCUUUCCAACUGAUGUUAGGGAGCCAUGAAUAGGUUCAGGUGUGCUGAGAUAUUAACACCCAGCCCCCCCACAGCCCUUGGGUCAGAGUCCCUGAGUCGACAUCUGUUUACAUGUGCUAUAACGCAAGAAGGUGGGGGAAGCGUGGGCCAGACACUCUCCAGGGCCCCAGCCAUGUCUGACAUUCCGUUUUGCCCAUCUCCGCUGCUCAGUCUUGGAGGGGGCUUUGGGGAGGCUGUAGAAGAACAGACAGGCUCCUGCUGCAGGCACAGGUCCAUGUGCUGGCAGAGAUGGGAGCCAGGUCUCCUAGCUGCCCCCUGCUGCUCUCGCCUCUGGCCCAGCACCAGCCGAGGGAGUCGUGACGUGCUCAGGUGCCCAGGUGAGGGUAGGUGCAUCAGCCUCUCUUCUGUCUGGUGGCUGGGUGGUCCCUGAUGGCCCCCUCAAGCUUCAGCAGUGGCUUACAAAAGUGGAGGAGCAGCCUCCCACUGGCUCCUUCACCCACUUUCCAGUUGCAAAAACAGACUCACUGUUUCUGAGGAGUCAGGCAGCAGGUCUCUCUGCACAGGCCCAGACAGAGCCUUCACAAAGCCUUCACCUUUCUCCUGGGGCCAGCCACUUCUCAGAAAUCCAUGGACGGUCCACUUCUGUGGUUGACUUUGGACUACCCUCUCUCUCCUUCCAUCUCCUGCCAGGUGCGCUAUGCUUAGAGAAGGUACACACGGCCUAAUUCCACCCUAAUCAUAAAAUAUCAGGAAAGACCCAGCGCUUGACCUAGCACUUUGUACACAGUAGAUAAUAAAUAUUUACUGAAUAAAUGAAGACUAUGCUCAAAUAUUUAAAAAAAGAAAACCCUACCAAGCCCAAUGGGAUUUUUAAAAUUAUUGAUCACAUUGCUCCUGCUUAUUUGUGUAGAUAAAAGAUCACUUUUAAAAUUCUUCAGUAUUUACUGGUGCUUACUAGAUGCCAUGCAUUUUACAAGUCUGAGCUGAUUUCCUUUCCAGAAUCCCAUUUUACAGAUAAGCACUCCAAGGCUCAAAAUGAGGUUAAGAAACCUGUCCGAGGUCAUAGAGCUGGUAAGCAGUGGCCACAGGAUCCUAACCCAACUUUAGAAACCGUGAGCUUUGCGGCGCACCAGGCUGCCUCUAAGGAUACACAGAACAGAGUGGAGAGAGACGGGACUAAAGGGGGAGGCAGAGAAGUGUGCAGGGGGGCGGUAGCAACGCAGUCGGGGGCUCCCUACCGCCUUAGCCCUGGGAACUGCUUUUGAGGUUGGGACAAGUUUUGCUGAAGAAAAGUGACAAGUGUCAGGCCCUCGCUCAUCUCGCCCCCUUUGAUUGCUGGGCCGGCCUACCUGUGCAAUCUGGCGUUUCAUUGGGCGCUGCCGGCUUGCGUCUCUGUCCUGGCAACCAGCCUUCCCUGCUUCCCUCCCCAGGGCAGUGACUAGGGGCCCAGGGAGCAGGCAGGGGAGCGGCAGGAAACCCAAGCGCUCUGACCUGCCAGGGAUGAACUGGGCUGUUGCCUGCCCCCCACGCCUGUCCCCGCUGCCUGACAGGUGAGCAGCUGUGCUCUACAUCUGUCUGUACAUCUGUCUCCCUCCCAGGGGCCCGGAGAGAGCUGAUGCUCCCGAGACAGGAGGCCCUGGAUCUCCCUUACUCCAGAGAUUAAUCGACAGGAACUAGAAGGGCGGGGCGGGAUGAAGUGUGCCUCUUUCCCGCCACCUCCCGCCACCCCCCACCCCCCACCUCACCAGCUCCCCCAGCUCUGCCUGCCAAGCUCUGCAAAUUACCACACAUGCCAAUAAGUCAUUAGAAACCAGACCGGCAAAUGCAGGGUUGCCAUGGUGACCGAUACCAGGCGCGGGCAGCCCUGGCCGACCCGUGGCUCAGGUGUGCCUGGGGAGAGCCGGGAGGGCCCAUAGGCCUGAUGGAGGCAAGGGAAGGUGCUCUGCUGUCAGGGUGCGGAUUCUGGGCCCUUCCCCCUCCGGGGCCAGCCCUGCUGCCUGCCGAGAGCUGGGGUGAUGGGGUGAAAGCGCGGCAGGGCUGCAGGAGGGCACCGGGAGGGCACCGGGAGGGCAGGUGUGCCGGGCGGGCCGGGCCGAGCCGAGCCUCCACCUGAGGAGGAGGGCGCAGUGAUAAGGCCCAGCAGCUGGGGUGGGCCUGGGCCCGAGCCGACAGCCUGGCUUUGGAGGAACAGCUCAGGGGCGGGCUGAGGGCAGGGCCAGCGCUCAUGCCACACUCUCCACUCUCCCGUUUUCCUGAGCUCAGAACUCACUCUUGCUUCCGCGGCGCCUAGCGAAGCACCGGGCCUUUGUAGGUAAAGACACACACGCAGCGUUGGUUGAAAAUGGAGAGCGAUGAGCGAAGGCUUGUAAGCACCCGAGAUUUCAGACAAGACAGGAGCGGCCCCGCUCUUUCACUAGCUCAGUGUGGUCUCCGACACAGCCCCUUCUCUCGGGCCUCAGUUCCAUCAGCUGGAAAAUAACGGAUCACGUCUCACACAUUGUGCAUCUCCAAGCACACUCCCCAGAGCUGGCGAGUCGCGCAGGGGCUCCUCUGAAGUUCUGGGCCAGGAGGAGGCCGAGGCCGUGGGGUUCGGGUCCACCGGCUGGGCUCUACCUGCAGCAGCUUUCUUAUCAAUCCCCUGCUGCUGCUGUAACGUCUUACCACAAAAUUAGUGGCUUCGGACAACCAAUUUGUCAUCUCAUGGUUCAGAAGCCAGAAGUCCAAAAUGGGUCUCACUGGGCUAAAACCAGAGUGUCCGUAGAGCUGUGCUCCUCCUGGAGGCUCUAAGGGGAGAAUCCGCUUCCUUGUCUUUCCCAGCACAUUCCCUGCCCACAUUCCUUGGCUCGCGGCCCCUUCCAUCUUCUCAAGAUGUUAGUCUCCUCAAGUCUUCCUCAUGCCUCAUUGCUCUAACAAUGCCUUCUGCCUCCCUCUUCCACAUCGAAAGGACCCUUGUGAUUGAUUACAUUGGACCUACCUGGAUAAUUCACGAUAAUCUACUUGAAGGGCAGCUGACUAGCAACCUUAAUUCCUUUCACCUGCAACCUUAAUACCCUUUGCCAUGUAACAAUCAUAAGUUCUGGGGAUUCACAGGCAAACAUCUUUGGGAGGCCAUUAAUCUGCCGACCACACGUUAUACAGUUGACCUUUAGACAACAGAGUGCAAUGCACUGACCCCCCCCCCAUCCUCAGUUGAAAGUCCGUGUAUAAUUUUUGACUCCCCAAAAUCUUAAACACUGAGCUACUAAUAGCCUAUCGCUGACCUUCCAGAAGCCUUUCUGAUACCAUAAAGUGUUGAUUAACACAUACUUUGCACAUUAUAUGCAUUAUAUACUGUAUUCUUAAAGUAAGCUAGAGAAAAGAUGUUAAGAAAGUCAAAAGGGAGGGAUGCCUGGGUGGCUUAGUCAGUUAAGCAUCUGAUGCUUAAUUUCAGGAUCGUGAGUUCAAGCCCUGUGUUGGGCUCCAUGCUGGGUGUGAAGCCUACUUUAAAAAAAUCAAAAGGAAGAAAGAAUACAUUUACAGCACCGUGCUGUAUUUAUUGAUAUCAUAAUUUAAGUCCUCUGUUUAGAAGAUAAAUCAUCUGUCAGAACCUAUAUUGAUAC